This 1046-nucleotide long non-coding RNA is filed under the name Triticum aestivum (bread wheat). RNAcentral's name for it is "long non-coding RNA (TAES_LNC008861)". The record is from RNAcentral. Lineage: Eukaryota; Viridiplantae; Streptophyta; Magnoliopsida; Poales; Poaceae.
CUAUCAUGUACACUUUCUUUUGAGAAGUAGCAAUCAUAUCAUCAUACACAGAAUUUUUUUUUUUUUGAAACUGGAUCAUACACAGAAAAUUUGAACUUGCAGUUGCUGCUAUGUGUACGGAUUCCAUGUUUUGUUCGUCCUCAUUGCCUGCGUUGUGUACUUCAUCCUCAACCUGCAGGUGUCCUUCCUGCUAGUGAUCAGCAUCGUCAUCCUGGGCUUGCGCAUUGGAGGCAUUAUUCCUGGCCGCUGCUGGCAUCAUUGCUGAUGCUUACCUUCCUGUGAUUAACUUUCAAUUCUGUCAAACAAGGAUGAAAAGACAAGACAAAAUCAAGGACACUACAUCAACACAAAUGAAAGAACAUUGUUCUUGCACUUUGUCAAACAAGGCUGAAUACUUAUUUAUUUUCUCCCAACACUCACUCUAGCUAAUGUACGUUUGGGAGAUACGUACAGGAAAGAAAACAUGUACCUCCCUCUUGGACACAUGAAUGAUUCAUCAACAUCUUCUUUGUUUCUCCAUGAAAGCUCUCUCUUUUUCUCACAUAUCUGUACCAUUUUCCUCAAAUGGUUGAUCAUCCAUGGCCUGCCUUUUGCAUAAGAUAAUCAAUUCGUCACUGAAAUAUCUAUCAGUUUUGUUGUAGGCAAACCAAAAAUAAGAACUUAACUUAACUAAACUAAAAAUAAAUAUUGAACGAAAAUUGGAAAUCGAGCUGAACUAAAACUAGGAACUGGACUGAACUUUUCUAAUAUUAGUACAUGUAGCUCUCGAUAUAAGUAGUGUACUGCCAAGCAAUACAAAUGAGAAAAAGAAAUAAACCCUGGCAUUCAUUACAUUGACAUUUAAUACAUCGCGCAUACAUGUUAAAUAAUGGAAACAUUUCAUUUUUUUACAGCAAGCAGACACCUUUUGGCAUUUUCAACUACAGUUAUAAAAUAUACCAAACCCAUUUUCCAAGCAUAGAACUGCAGAAAUAUAGCAAAGUUGAACUAUUGUAUUCUACAGAGAACUGCACAGAAUUAAUAAUCUGAAAUGCUUUUUUUCUCAC